This 509-nucleotide ribosomal RNA is filed under the name uncultured Glomeraceae. Its description in RNAcentral is "SSU rRNA". It matches the Rfam family "Eukaryotic small subunit ribosomal RNA", at positions 569 to 1082 of the family's 1831-position model. Lineage: Eukaryota; Fungi; Glomeromycota; Glomeromycetes; Glomerales; Glomeraceae. The record is from RNAcentral.
CGCAGCCGCGGUAAUUCCAGCUCCAAUAGCGUAUAUUAAAGUUGUUGCAGUUAAAAAGCUCGUAGUUGAAUUUCGAGACCGGUUUAUUGGUCGUGCUUUUGUACGUACUGGUAUUAUUGGUUUCUCCUUUCUGACGAAUCUUAAUGCCAUUAAUUUGGUGUUUUGGGGAAUCAGGACUGUUACUUUGAAAAAUUAGAGUGUUUAAAGCAGGCUCACGCUUGAAUACAUUAGCAUGGAAUAACGGAAUAGGACGUUUGAUUCUAUUUUGUUGGUUUCUAGGAUCGACGUAAUGAUUAAUAGGGAUAGUUGGGGGCAUUAGUAUUCAAUUGUCAGAGGUGAAAUUCUUGGAUUUAUUGAAGACUAAACUACUGCGAAAGCAUUUGCCAAGGAUGUUUUCAUUAAUCAAGAACGAAAGUUAGGGGAUCGAAGACGAUCAGAUACCGUCGUAGUCUUAAACCAUAAACUAUGCCGACUAGGGAUCGGAUGAUGUUAAUUUUUUAAUGUACUCA